Molecule: ribosomal RNA, 224 nt
Filed under: uncultured bacterium
Lineage: Bacteria
Description: partial 16S ribosomal RNA
Rfam family: Bacterial small subunit ribosomal RNA
Source: RNAcentral
UGAGCAAUCUGCCCUUCACAUCGGAAUAACCAUUGGAAACGAUGGCUAAUACCGAAUAUGACUUCGGGUCGCAUGAUCUGAAGUGGAAAGCUCCGGCGGUGAAGGAUGAGCUCGCGGCCUAUCAGCUUGUUGGUGAGGUAAUAGCUCACCAAGGCGAUGACGGGUAGCCGGCCUGAGGAGGGUCGACCGCCCACACUGGGACUGAGACACGGCCCAGACCUCCG